Molecule: long non-coding RNA, 1058 nt
Organism: Perca flavescens (yellow perch)
Lineage: Eukaryota; Metazoa; Chordata; Actinopteri; Perciformes; Percidae
Exons: 3
Source: RefSeq, a predicted model, not a curated record
CACAUGGAGAGCACACCAGCAGCACACUAGUGAGGAGUUUCCUCCCCACCUUUUUCACUCCCCAGCAGGUUUGUGUUUCCUGACCUCCAUGCAUCCAUCCAAGGUGCUGGACUUUUGUUCUUUUAGUUUCUUGUGUUAGUUUGGGCUGGAGGUUACUGCUAGUUCAGUUAUUCAUCUCUUUUGUUUGUUCUAGGAUUAGUUUACACUUUUUAAGGUAAUUAAGGGGAGACUGGGGGAGACUGGGGGAGUGACGGUCCACUGCGAGGUUGGUCCAGAGUCUUCCCAUUUUUUUGUUCCUUUUUAGCCGGGGUCUCCAGUGCCUUUUUGGCUUCUCUUUGUUUGCUACUUUUGGGACUAUGUUUGCAGCUUGUUGGUUAAUUGUUAACCUUGUGACUGGCAUCCUUUUUUAUAUGUUGCAUCCUCCAAUCCCUUUUGAGCCUUGGUUUGUUUCUUAAAAUGGAGGCUGUAACACCGAUCCUAUCCCCAACCUGGAUCUACCAGCACCUACCUGGAACAUUCCAAAGCUGCUGUUGGACUGGCUCGUAGUGGCUCCGGGCAAAAGUUUGCCGGAGGCCGCAACACCAGCUGAUAUCCCUGCAGUUGGUGACUGUUGACACGGCCGCCUAAAGACAGCCGCUACAGCCUCCCAUUUCACCAAAAAGCAUCGGAGAUAUGCUAUAUAUUAUAAGGAUGAUGGAGAGGAUAAAUUCACAAUUCCAUGCCUGUGUGACAAAGGGAGGGACACAAGACGCAGCCACUGGCACUGCCCAAAAAGGUUAAGAACCACUUGUCUGUUUGACCCAAUUGAUGGAAUCCUUUAAACCUGCUGGAGAAAGUGACAUGGAGCCUUCGACCAAAUCUCUGAAGUGCUUUCUAUUUAGUGUUGCAUCUGCUUGGGGCAUUCCUAAAAUAGGGUGUUAAUGGAGUCUCCAGGUCUGUACUGAGCUGAUGCUCUGGUGGUCCACCCACAACAGGAAGGAGAAAAUCCCUGUGAGUUCCCUGCUGAGUGCUUGACUUACGGUUUCACAAAUAAAAGCAACACACUAUGAGUAAUUGAC